GAUGAACGCUAGCGGCAGGCUUAACACAUGCAAGUCGAGGGGUAGAGGAAGCUUGCUUCCUUGAGACCGGCGCACGGGUGCGUAACGCGUAUGCAAUCUACCUUAUACAGGGGGAUAGCCCAGAGAAAUUUGGAUUAAUACCCCAUAGUAUAAUUGAAUGGCAUCAUUUAAUUAUUAAAAGUUCCAACGGUAUAAGAUGAGCAUGCGUCCCAUUAGUUAGUUGGUGUGGUAACGGCACACCAAGGCGACGAUGGGUAGGGGUCCUGAGAGGGAGAUCCCCCACACUGGUACUGAGACACGGACCAGACUCCUACGGGAGGCAGCAGUGAGGAAUAUUGGUCAAUGGGCGCAAGCCUGAACCAGCCAUGCCGCGUGCAGGAUGACGGUCCUAUGGAUUGUAAACUGCUUUUGACAGGAAGAAACACUCCCUCGUGAGGGGAGCUUGACGGUACUGUAAGAUAAGGAUCGGCUAACUCCGUGCCAGCAGCCGCGGUAAU
Molecule: ribosomal RNA, 497 nt
Filed under: uncultured bacterium
Lineage: Bacteria
Description: bacterial SSU rRNA
Rfam family: Bacterial small subunit ribosomal RNA
Source: RNAcentral